UUUUGGGGCAAUGAUUGAACCCGCGAAUAUAUCAAAUUUUCUCAAAAUCCCUCCUUUCUCAAAAGAAAACAGAAAUGCCCUCUUUUCUCAAUCGAACGGACACAAUGGCCAGAUAGGAUCAAGAAGGAAACUCCACCGCCGCCGUCUCUGUCGCCAGAGAGUCCCACCAACCCCAGCUUCCGGUAAGCCGAGUGAAGAGAAUCAUAAAAUUGGACCAGGACAUCAACAAGGUAAACUCAGAAGCCUUACAUCUCAUCGCUAGUUCUACUGAGCUUUUUAUCGAAUCCUUAGCAGAAAAAUCUGCCCAAGUCGCAUUGGAGAAGAACAGAAAAACCAUAAAGGUCGAGCAUUUAAGAGUUGUCGUUAAAAGACAUCAACCUACAAGCGAUUUCCUUCUCGAUUCGCUUCCCAUGCCGCCUUCACAGCCAUCCGAUCCAUCUCCCAAGGUUCAAAGUUGUCGUCGAUUAUCAAAAGACAAGCCACUUCCUUCCGGAUAGGGAUGGCAAUGGAGCGGUGCGGGUGCGGGGUGGAGCGGGUCUUAAGCUAUGCGGUGCAGUGGAAUUGCGGGACGUGUUAAAGUAAAUUUUUUUUUUAAAUGGUGCGGUGCGGGAUGCCAUAUAUGCGGGUUUAAUUAAAAAAAGCUAAAAAUUAAUUCUCUUAAAUAUAUCUAAAAUUAUAUGUAUUUUUUAUUUAAAUUUUUAUGAUACUUAAAAUGAUGUGUAUAAGGUUACAAAUAAAUAAUUUUAUAGUUUUUUUAAUAUCUCUAUUUAUUUUAAUAAAAAUAUAAUAUUUGAUCAUUAUUUAUACACGUAAUAUUUUUUGAGAAUUUCUUAGUGAAAAGUGAUAUUAUAAAAAUUAAUUAUUAUUUUUUAGUUGCAGAUUUAAAAAUAUUAUGAUUUUUAAUGAAGUUAAAAAAUUUUCAAGAAAAAUAAAAAUAAAAAUAAAAACAUGGGGUGAUGCGGUGCGGUGCGGGUAUUCACAGGUAUGAGUAUGGGCCGGAUUUAUGUGCGUUUAAAAGUGAUGCGGUGCGGUUUUAAACCCGCACCACACCAUCGCCAUCCCUACUUCCGGAACUCAAAGAAUUGAGGCAUUCUUUCAGAAUUGCACUUAAACUCGGUGUUGAAUGGUUAUGUGAAACGGUUAUUCAUUCCUCUUUUCUCAAUCGACAACCUCCCUCUCAAAAGCCCUCUUUCCUUUCUUCAAUAAUCCGUCCCUCACCGACCCGACCUCUCUCCGGCGACUGUUGCAGUCAGCGGCGACGACACCUAGUCACAUAAUUUUAGCUGAAAUAUUUGAGGUUUAGGCAUCAUUUACCCUCACUCUGCUGCAGAAUGAUAUAAAAGCAGCUCUGAGAUCUGCUUUCGGUACUAUGAAAGGGCCUUUAUCUGUUGUUGAUUGGUGCAAAGGUCGCAGUCAAUCAAAUGAUGGGGGAAUAUCUGGUGACGAUUUUUCCGCAGAGUCCACUGCCAGUGCAAGUGAAUGUCGAGAUUCAUCAAAUACCAUAUCAUUGUCUGUUGGAGAACCUAUAAGUCCAUCUCAGUCCUCUGCUAGUGGAACAUCUAGUUUGAGAGAUGGCAUUAGGGUGGAUGAGGCAAGUGAGCGCAGAUUAAGCCAAGAUACUUGCCUAUCAGAGUCGGAGAAUCUACUGGGUUCAAGGCUUAGGCCAACGUUGGCUGCAGUACCAUAUCCGACUAUACUUCUUGGGUGUGUUUUUUAUACUGAAAUUGGUUGAUCCUUGUCCAUUCAUCUUUUUUGGAUCAGUGAGCAUUACAGAAAAUGUGCAAGCAAAAUGCUGAAAAUCGAAAGAAAAAAAAUAUUCCACACAUUGGUGGCUCCAAGUCUAACGUGAGAAGAAGAGCUGAAAUGAUGGUUGAGAUUGGACAUAAGUCUGGACGAGCAGAACUUUAUCUUGCUACUCAUAAGAAAGAAGAUGGAUCAUAUGUUAAUGAAGUGGCAAAAGAGAUUUGUGUUGCACCAAAAGUAUGCUCAAGAGAUUGAAGUGCUGAAGGAAGAAACAAGGAGUAUUGUAACGAACCGUAUUUUGGGCUAGAAUUUAAUGAUGAUAAUGAAAGAAGGCACAAUAUCUGAACAGUUUGCAGAUUUUUUCACUUCUACGCCAAGUGAUGUCUCCAGUGGACCUCUUUUGGAUGUGAAUGGAAGAUCAUCUGGUGAUAGUUAUUCUAGCGAUGAUUAUUGAAAUUUGUAAUCGUAUUAGUAAUUAUGCCAAUGUUAUUGAAUCGCUGUUGGAGCAGUAUUUUGUGUUUAAAUUAGUUUUUAAGACUAAUGACAAUAUUUUUGUGGUACGUUUUUAUGAUCUAAUAUAUUUUGAUUUUUGUUGUUA
Capsicum annuum is the source of this 2341-nucleotide long non-coding RNA. RefSeq lists it as uncharacterized. The transcript has 7 exons. The record is from RefSeq and is a predicted model, not a curated record. Lineage: Eukaryota; Viridiplantae; Streptophyta; Magnoliopsida; Solanales; Solanaceae.